This 915-nucleotide long non-coding RNA is filed under the name Sorghum bicolor (sorghum). RNAcentral's name for it is "long non-coding RNA (SBIC_LNC011034)". The record is from RNAcentral. Lineage: Eukaryota; Viridiplantae; Streptophyta; Magnoliopsida; Poales; Poaceae.
CCCCUUCUUGUCUUAAACACCACUGUACGAUAUAUAUAUAAAAUAUUCACGACCACGAUAAUAAGAAGGCUAAAAGUUAGCGAAAGUUUGCUAGCUAGUAGAACUUACUUGGAUGUAUUAUGUUAAGCGGCGCUUUACAUCCACUAAGAUGUUCACGGUCAAUGAAUCUUUCCCAAACCCUACACACAGCCAUUGUGAUCGUGAACUAAUAAUUACAGAGUCAUUUUAUGAUGUUCUUCUAGCUGAGAUCGACAUUACGUACCUUUGAAUAAUGUUUACCAUUUGUUGAUAAUUUUCUUGUGGUUUUCUCAUUGAGUCAAAGAUUAUCAACCGGUUCUUGGGAAUUUCAAUGAACAUGAGUAUCCAGUGAAAGCUGUUUACACAUAUAUAUAGUCAGGCCUAUAUAUAACUAUAUAAAACUUGUCUCGAGUAAUAAUUAUUAAAAUAAAAUAUGCAUGCACUUAAUCACUAUAUAACUCACUCGAAGUUGAAGGGGAAGAGUAUUUUUUGUUUUUCUUUUUGGUUCACAAAGAACCUCAUAAGAUUGGUGCAGACUUCUGUCUCAUGAGCUACUGUCCACACUGCCUGCGGAGCUUUGAAAACAAUAUAAGGGUCAACGAACCCAAUAUUAUUGUCAUUUCUGAUUCUGAGCUCUCUCAUUUGGUGCCUGCAUAUAUACAUACAAAUCCUAAGUGUGUAAAGAUUAUAUACAUGUAAUUAAAAAAGUUAGAAGUAUAAUAAAAAGAAAAAAAAUACUUACAUACAAAAGCAGCUGACAAGAGAUUUGUCGAGAACAUCGAAGUGACAUAAUUGGUGCAAUUCUUCGAAAUGCACGUAUAUGAGGUCAUCUCUCCGGAAGUAGUGAUGUUGUCUAAUACGAACAGAAAUCCAAUUCUCUCCCCUUUUAGACGCCUC